AACAAACGCUGGCGGCGUGCCUAAUACAUGCAAGUCGAACGGGGAAAGCUUUCGGGUGAGUACUAGUGGCGCACGGGUGAGGAACGCGUGGAUAAUCUGCCUUAGAGUGGGGGAUAACUAGUCGAAAGAUUAGCUAAUACCGCAUAAGACCACGAGAGCUGCGGCUUUUGAGGUCAAAGGUUUUUCGCUCUAAGAUGAGUCCGCGUAAGAUUAGCUAGUUGGUGAGGUAACGGCUCACCAAGGCGACGAUCUUUAACUGGUCUGAGAGGAUGAUCAGUCACACUGGAACUGAGACACGGUCCAGACUCCUACGGGAGGCAGCAGUAGGGAAUAUUGCACAAUGGAGGAAACUCUGAUGCAGCGACGCCGCGUGAGUGAUGAAGGCCUUCGGGUCGUAAAGCUCUGUCGCAGGGGAAUAACACAAUGAAGGUACCUUGUAAGAAAGGAUCGGCUAACUUCGUG
RNAcentral lists this ribosomal RNA (462 nucleotides) under uncultured bacterium. RNAcentral describes it as "partial 16S ribosomal RNA". It matches the Rfam family "Bacterial small subunit ribosomal RNA", at positions 29 to 507 of the family's 1533-position model. The record is from RNAcentral.